AAAGCUGUGAGGAGGAGGGUAGGUACUGGUUUGUAGGCUGUUUGUCCAAGGACAGUUGAAUUGCUAUCUGGGCAUUGGAUGACAGUUUGAAGAAGUAUCACCUACAAAUUGAUUGUAACUGCCGAGAAGCAGACAUUAAUAUUUGAGUCAGUAGCAUGGAUCUCUCCUGAAAUACACCAGCUUGCUGCAAAGGAACAGAAACAUGAGUGACUUGGAUGCACCUUGGGCAGAAAGAAACAGAUCUCGGACAAGACACUGCUCUGUGCUGCUCUGGGCCUGAAGUGGAAGACUAUCCAUGAUGUUGGCCAGCUUCCUAUCUAAUUGAAGACCCCCAGAGUGAUCACAUUGCUGAAUGGUUGGAGAUACUUUCUUCUGGAUUUUGUUCAGGCUGCCCAAGAUAACCAGAAGACUUGAGAAAAUAUUCAGUGCGAACUAAGUGAAGCCUACUCAUGGCGACUUUCUGGUCAGUGGGGUUGGUUAGCAGAGCUCAGCACUGCCCCAGCACCAUGUUGGACAGUUCUGGGGGAAGGAACACAGCAGACUUUGCCUUGCCAAGUGCUCUGCCAGUGUUAUCUUUUUUUCUUUUCCUCACAGAAGGGAUAUAGUUUACAGAGUACAGAGGGAACUAUUCCUACAGAAGAAUAUUUGUUAACAUGCUGUUCAGCAGAUGCAACCUGGAUGCUGAAAAAUGUAUCCUUCUAGCAGUAACUUUCGUUUGCUGAAUAGGCUAUUCAGAAAAUUGACAUUACUACAUUGUUGGUUUUUUUCCAUUUUCAUUCCAAUACUUUUUUGCAUUGCUUUUUCAUCCUUCAUUUGCUGACUUCACAGACUUCUAUUUAAUUUAUAUUUUUUUAUAUUUGUGAAGAGAUUUCCCAUUUCUGAAAAACUCCUUCCUUCAUUUUUUGUUGUGUUGGUUUUUGUUUUUUUCAAUCUGUUUCAUAUCCAGUUUCAAAUUUCAUCUUGGUUUUUGUACAGUCAGACUUCACUAGAGUGCAUCUUUUCAAAUAACCCAUCUCACUAGAUUCCCCUUACGUGCCAAAAGAACAGUUGUAGCCUCAGUCCAUUAAAAAUACAUUGACUAUCAGCAAGGUCAGAAGAGGAAGCAUUAGAAGAAUAGUUAUUUGUUAUUUAGAAUUCAGUUGCAGAGAGCAGGUGAUUUUUUAAUGUCAAAUUAAAUUAAAAUGAAAAAAGCACGCAUGUCUCAUCCCUGCUAGAGCCAUAACCUUCUCAGAUGCUCUCAGUGAUGACCACCUCCCACUGGAACCAGCAGAAGCUUCUUGGCAUCAUGUCCCAGAGGUCAGCACUCUGCAGCUGCUUUGGAAAGGAUCCAAAUAGCUUGCUCACAGAUAUGUCCUCCUUGUGAAGAACAUUUCGCCAUCAGACUCUAUGCAAAAAGGAAGGAAUCUAGUGAGAACAUCCUGCUACUUAAGUGUUGCCCUCAGGAGAAACCUUGUCUGACAGAUUGUAAAUGUCUUUCUUUUCUUCUCCCUUUGAACAGGAGUGUGCAUUUGUGGAAAUCUGUGGAAAGUGUGCAUAAAAUAGCUAAGCUACAGCAUUUGUCAUGUUCUGGUAGAUAUCUUAAAGAACCCAUAGAGCAAAUCUGGCUAAUUAGCUCAUACAAGAGUGAGGUAAUGUAAGCAACUUAGAAAACAGUAAGUCAGAAACUUCUCUUAGUGUCAACAACAUGAAAAGUAAUAUAAACAACAGCAUUCAUUCUUCUUUGUAAUUACAUUUCUGUAGCAACUCCUCAGUGCAAUUGCCCUAUUGUAAAUAACUGAAGGAUACCACUCGUGAUAUUUCCAAAAUAUUUUAUGAAGGAAAGUGUUUAUACAGGAUCAUUUGGAUGGCUAGAUCCAGAAUGUUACAUUCAUUUGACUCAUGUGAAAAUUCCUAGUGCCACCUAUUGGCAGAAAUAAUAAAAUGUUAGAC
Molecule: long non-coding RNA, 1929 nt
Organism: Gallus gallus (chicken)
Lineage: Eukaryota; Metazoa; Chordata; Aves; Galliformes; Phasianidae
Source: Ensembl